RNAcentral lists this long non-coding RNA (378 nucleotides) under Mytilus galloprovincialis (Mediterranean mussel). The record is from RNAcentral. Lineage: Eukaryota; Metazoa; Mollusca; Bivalvia; Mytilida; Mytilidae.
UUUAGAUAUUUAUAUUUACAGUUAAAACAAAAUGUUUAACGAUAUAAAAAAUGAUGUCUUCUAUUUAAAAUAAAUCUGCAGAUUUUGGCACUAUAAAUAAUGAUACUAUCACAGUUACUGGCAAGAACAAUAGACAAUUUAUCCGGUUAGAAAAAUUUAAAAAGUUUGAGUAACACAGACUUUUGUUUUGUUAUUUUGUUUGGAUUCUGAACUAAUUUGCAUGCAAAACUGAGAUUUUGUCACAAAAUUCAAUUUUGUGUUUAUUUUUGUGUAGACAAAAUUUAAUUUUGUAAAACAGAAGUGAAAAUUUAACACAAAAGUCAUUUUUGUCACAAAAGUCAAUUUUGUGUCAAAAGUCAAUUCUGUGUCAAAAGUCAA